This 72-nucleotide transfer RNA is filed under the name Bos taurus (domestic cattle). It matches the Rfam family "tRNA". Rfam says of the family: Transfer RNA (tRNA) molecules are approximately 80 nucleotides in length. Lineage: Eukaryota; Metazoa; Chordata; Mammalia; Artiodactyla; Bovidae. The record is from Rfam by way of RNAcentral.
UCCCUGGAGGUCCAGUGGUUAGGACUUGGUGCUUUCACUGCAGUGGCUGAGGUUCAAUUCCUUGUCAGGGAA